Molecule: ribosomal RNA, 459 nt
Filed under: uncultured bacterium
Lineage: Bacteria
Description: partial 16S ribosomal RNA
Rfam family: Bacterial small subunit ribosomal RNA
Source: RNAcentral
CCUACGGGUGGCAGCAGUGAGGAAUAUUGGUCAAUGGGCGGGAGCCUGAACCAGCCAAGUCGCGUGAGGGAAGACGGUCCUACGGAUUGUAAACCUCUUUUGCCGGGGAGCAACGGGGUCCUUGCGAGGGCCCGAUGAGAGUACCCGGAGAAAAAGCAUCGGCUAACUCCGUGCCAGCAGCCGCGGUAAUACGGAGGAUGCGAGCGUUAUCCAGAUUUAUUGGGUUUAAAGGGUGCGUAGGCGGAACAUUAAGUCAGCGGUAAAAUCGAGGGGCUCAACCCCUUAAGCCGUUGAAACUGGUGAUCUUGAGUGGGCGAGAAGUAUGCGGAAUGCGUGGUGUAGCGGUGAAAUGCAUAGAUAUCACGCAGAACUCCGAUUGCGAAGGCAGCAUACCGGCGCCCGACUGACGCUGAGGCACGAAAGCGUGGGGAUCGAACAGGAUUAGAUACCCCAGUAGUC